GACGAACGCUGGCGGCGUGCUUAACACAUGCAAGUCGAACGGUGAAGCGCCUUCCUUUUUGGUGGGUGUGGAUGAGUGGCGAACGGGUGAGUAACACGUGAGUAACCUGCCCCCUUCUUCUGGAUAACCGCAUGAAAGUGUGGCUAAUACGGGAUAUUCUGGGUCUGUCGCAUGAUGGGUCUGGGAAAGAUAUUGUUUCGGUGGGGGAUGGGCUCGCGGCCUAUCAGCUUGUUGGUGGGGUGAUGGCCUACCAAGGCGGUGACGGGUAGCCGGCCUGAGAGGGUGGACGGUCACACUGGGACUGAGACACGGCCCAGACUCCUACGGGAGGCAGCAGUGGGGAAUAUUGCACAAUGGGCGCAAGCCUGAUGCAGCGACGCCGCGUGAGGGAUGGAGGCCUUCGGGUUGUGAACCUCUUUCGCCGGUGAAGCAGGCCUGCCUCGUUUGUGGGUGGGUUGACGGUAGCUGGAUAAGAAGCGCCGGCUAACUACGU
This 493-nucleotide ribosomal RNA is filed under the name uncultured bacterium. Its description in RNAcentral is "partial 16S ribosomal RNA". It matches the Rfam family "Bacterial small subunit ribosomal RNA", at positions 28 to 506 of the family's 1533-position model. The record is from RNAcentral.